This 420-nucleotide ribosomal RNA is filed under the name uncultured bacterium. RNAcentral describes it as "bacterial SSU rRNA". It matches the Rfam family "Bacterial small subunit ribosomal RNA", at positions 356 to 773 of the family's 1533-position model. The record is from RNAcentral.
GAGGAAUAUUGGACAAUGGAUGGAAAUCUGAUCCAGCCAUGCCGCGUGCAGGAAGACGGCCCUAUGGGUUGUAAACUGCUUUUAUAUGGGAGCAAUAAGGUUUACGCGUAGACCGAUGAGAGUACCAUAUGAAUAAGCAUCGGCUAACUCCGUGCCAGCAGCCGCGGUAAUACGGAGGAUGCGAGCGUUAUCCGGAUUUAUUGGGUUUAAAGGGUGCGUAGGCGGCCUUGUAAGUCAGCGGUGAAAUUUUGCAGCUUAACUGUAACAGUGCCGUUGAUACUGCGGGGCUAGGAUUUGGUUGCUGUGGGUGGAAUGUGUGGUGUAGCGGUGAAAUGCUUAGAUAUCACACAGAAUAUCGAUUGCGAAGGCAGCUCACAAAGCCAAGAUUGACGCUGAGGCACGAAAGUGUGGGGAUCAAAC